CUGUCACUUACAGAUGGAUCCGCGCCGCUUAGCUAGUUGGUGAGGUAACGGCUCACCAAGGCGACGAUGCGUAGCCGACCUGAGAGGGUGAUCGGCCACACUGGAACUGAGACACGGUCCAGACUCCUACGGGAGGCAGCAGUAGGGAAUCUUCCGCAAUGGACGAAAGCCUGACGGAGCAACGCCGCGUGAGUGAUGAAGGUCUUCGGAUCGUAAAACUCUGUUGUUAGGGAAGAACAAGUGCCGUUCUAACUAUGCGCGUCCUUGCCGGUCCCUAUCCAAAAGCCCCCGCCAACUUCC
RNAcentral lists this ribosomal RNA (300 nucleotides) under Virgibacillus kekensis. RNAcentral's name for it is "bacterial SSU rRNA". It matches the Rfam family "Bacterial small subunit ribosomal RNA", at positions 212 to 505 of the family's 1533-position model. The record is from RNAcentral. Lineage: Bacteria; Bacillati; Bacillota; Bacilli; Caryophanales; Bacillaceae.